This 389-nucleotide ribosomal RNA is filed under the name uncultured bacterium. RNAcentral's name for it is "bacterial SSU rRNA". It matches the Rfam family "Bacterial small subunit ribosomal RNA", at positions 28 to 416 of the family's 1533-position model. The record is from RNAcentral.
GACGAACGCUGGCGGCGUGCUUAACACAUGCAAGUCGAACGAUGAAGCUGGAGCUUGCUCCGGUGGAUUAGUGGCGAACGGGUGAGUAACACGUGAGCAAUCUGCCCUUGACUCUGGGAUAACUGCGGGAAACUGUAGCUAAUACCGGAUACGACCCUUGGAGGCAUCUCUGGGGGUGGAAAGAAUUUCGGUCAAGGAUGAGCUCGCGGCCUAUCAGCUAGUUGGUGAGGUAAUGGCUCACCAAGGCGACGACGGGUAGCCGGCCUGAGAGGGUGACCGGCCACACUGGAACUGAGACACGGUCCAGACUCCUACGGGAGGCAGCAGUGGGGAAUAUUGCACAAUGGGCGAAAGCCUGAUGCAGCAACGCCGCGUGAGGGAUGAAGGCC